Molecule: non-coding RNA, 30 nt
Filed under: Mus musculus (house mouse)
Lineage: Eukaryota; Metazoa; Chordata; Mammalia; Rodentia; Muridae
Source: RNAcentral
UAUUAUGGAGCCCCAGCCCUGGGCAGGAAA